AUGGAGCCGACCUUGAAAUACCACCCUUUAAUGUUUGAUGUUCUAACGUUGACCCGUAAUCCGGGUUGCGGACAGUGUCUGGUGGGUAGUUUGACUGGGGCGGUCUCCUCCUAAAGAGUAACGGAGGAGCACGAAGGUUGGCUAAUCCUGGUCGGACAUCAGGAGGUUAGUGCAAUGGCAUAAGCCAGCUUGACUGCGAGCGUGACGGCGCGAGCAGGUGCGAAAGCAGGUCAUAGUGAUCCGGUGGUUCUGAAUGGAAGGGCCAUCGCUCAACGGAUAAAAGGUACUCCGGGGAUAACAGGCUGAUACCGCCCAAGAGUUCAUAUCGACGGCGGUGUUUGGCACCUCGAUGUCGGCUCAUCACAUCCUGGGGCUGAAGUAGGUCCCAAGGGUAUGGCUGUUCGCCAUUUAAAGUGGUACGCGAGCUGGGUUUAGAACGUCGUGAGACAGUUCGGUCCCUAUCUGCCGUGGGCGCUGGAGAACUGAGGGGGGCUGCUCCUAGUACGAGAGGACCGGAGUGGACGCAUCACUGGUGUUCGGGUUGUCAUGCCAAUGGCACUGCCCGGUAGCUAAAUGCGGAAGAGAUAAGUGCUG
Molecule: ribosomal RNA, 594 nt
Filed under: Escherichia coli
Lineage: Bacteria; Pseudomonadati; Pseudomonadota; Gammaproteobacteria; Enterobacterales; Enterobacteriaceae
Description: partial 23S ribosomal RNA
Rfam family: Bacterial large subunit ribosomal RNA
Source: RNAcentral